AUGAGAUCAUGAGGGUGCCACUGUCACAAUGGGAUUAGUGCCCUUAUAAGAAAAGACACCAGAGAGCUCACUGUCUCUUUCUGUGCACAUAUAAAGAGGAGGUCACAUGAGCACAUAGUGAGAUCGUAGCCCCAUACAAGUCAAAAGAAGAGCCCUCAGAAUGAAACCUACCUUGCCAGCACCUUGAUCUUGAACUUCUCAGCCUCCAGAAGGGCCUCCUGGAAGACAACAUCUAAGUUUUGCUGGGAAGUAGCCGUAAAGCAGAGAGGCUGGGAUUAAGGAGCAAAAUUUCAGUCCCUGGGAGAGGAACUUGCAAGACCCUCCAGGAUUCAAUCUGCAGUGGGCAUCUAUUGAUCUGCCUGACCGACACUCACGCUGUCUCCUGGAUUUUCCUUUUUGGAACUGUAUGAGUCAGGGUCUAGUUGGCACAACAGAGCCACUCCAGAUCUUUCCAAUCGAGUGAAUGUAUACUGGAAACUAGUUAUGCAGUUAAUGGAGGGGUUGAGAGGCCAAACAAAGGGCGACAAGGCUACCCUGUGCUUAGCAUCAGCAGGAAAUCUCUCCCACACUCAAGGCUGGAGAGUCGAGGAAGGAGGCAACAUUGCCAAAGUCCAGGGCCAUCUGGUGGCAGCUAGAACUAUGAGGGGCCUGAUCAGCAGAAACUGGGACUGAAGGGAGGGGCCCCAGAGGAGACACAGCAUUGUCUGCGACAUUGCCUGAAGCAAAGUAAGGUGGAUAAAUACGUUGGAUAAGUACGUUGGCUUCCCUCUCUUCCUGUCCUCUAAUCUUCCAUCAGUGCUUCCAAUUUGCGGAAUCUACCUGGGAACCAGAAGGCCACGACAUCAAGGAUCUAGAGUUAUCUGUGACGCAGAGCAGAGAUCUUAGAGCAAACAGGCAAAUGACUGGCCCAGAAACCAUCUCUCCCCCUACCACUCAGUCCACAAGACUCUGGUGGAGUUGAUCUUGACCUUUGGCUCCCGGGGUAGAUGAAUGACCUAGGACUGGCCAAUCAGUAUAUUCCACUCUGCUCGCUCUAAUGACCCAAGUUAGUCCAAUGAGAGUGAACCCUGGAGCUUUUGGAAAAGAGAAAGCAUCUUUCUCCUAGGGUUGCCAGGCUCACAGAAUAUAAAUGUAGAAUUGCUCCCAGCCACCUUGCUACCAUAGACAAAAGAAUGGCUUAGAAGGAAGCCAGCAUAAAGGGAAGGCAGAACAAUGGGAAUGGGGAAAGAUUACCAAGAACAUUUGAAUACCUGGGUCCAGCCACGACUGUGCAUAGAGCUCUGAGUUAUGUGGACCACAAUUUGCAGCUCUCCUUUUUUUUCCUUUUUUUUUUUUUUUUGGAGGGGAAAUUCCAGGUCUUCAGGAGCAAGAGAAAGCUGGGUAACAUAUCUUCUCAACGAGCGAGGCAUCGUCCUGGAAAUCCGGUCUUCCUCAUCCCACCAGCUUCGAUUGUUCAGCUACUCCGCUCAUUGUUUUAACUGGCAGUUUUCAAAGAAAUCAACAUGAAGAAUUCUGCAAAGCAAAGUUGGGCAUUUGAUUGUAAAAUCUGGUGUGAAGGCACGAUGGCGUGCUACUGGGAGAAUCAGAACAGCUUCCAACUUCAUAAGCCGUUCAUGAAGCUUAGAUUCUAAACACACAGACGUCUUUCUUGACUAAGGACAAUGUCACAGGUGAUUUUCUGGCUGCUUUUGAUUAAGUACCUAUACCUUUAAUUCUUUUUAAAUCACAAACAGUUUUUAAGUGAUUUGGAACUUGGCUUCCGGACUCAAACUGCGAAGGUUGAAAUCUUUAGCUCUGCGGCUCUGACCAGCUGACCAGCUUUCUUCAGCUUCUUGAAGCCUCGGUUCCUUUUUAAGUCAUUAAAAAGGGACUAAGAAUCCUUAUGUCAGGGCAUGAAGUGAGGAUUUAGUGAAAUAAUACAUAAAGUGCCUUGCACAAUUCCCAGAA
Long non-coding RNA from Equus caballus (horse), 1947 nucleotides. NCBI's taxonomy places the organism in Eukaryota, Metazoa, Chordata, Mammalia, Perissodactyla, Equidae. The record is from Ensembl.